CUUCGGGUUGUAAGCCACUUUUGUCAGGGAAGAAAAGGUUUCGGAUAAAUACCCAGAACUGAUGACGGUACCUGAAGAAUAAGCACCGGCUAACUACGUGCCAGCAGCCGCGGUAAUACGUAGGGUGCAAGCGUUAAUCGGAAUUACUGGGCGUAAAGCGUGCGCAGGCGGUUCGGAAAGAAAGAUGUGAAAUCCCAGGGCUCAACCUUGGAACUGCAUUUUUAACUACCGGACUAGAGUAUGUCAGAGGGGGGUGGAAUUCCACGUGUAGCAGUGAAAUGCGUAGAUAUGUGGAGGAACACCGAUGGCGAAGGCAGCCCCCUGGGAUAAUACUGACGCUCAUGCACGAAAGCGUGGGGAGCAAACAGGAUUAGAUACCCUGGUAGUCCACGCCCUAAACGAUGUCAACUAGCUGUUGGGCCCUUCGGGGCUUAGUAGCGCAGCUAACGCGUGAAGUUGACCGCCUGGGGAGUACGGUCGCAAGAUUAAAACUCAAAGGAAUUGACGGGGACCCGCACAAGCGGUGGAUGAUGUGGAUUAAUUCGAUGCAACGCGAAAAACCUUACCUACCCUUGACAUGUCUGGAAUCCUGAAGAGAUUUAGGAGUGCUCGCAAGAGAACCGGAACACAGGUGCUGCAUGGCUGUCGUCAGCUCGUGUCGUGAGAUGUUGGGUUAAGUCCCGCAACGAGCGCAACCCUUGUCAUUAGUUGCUACAUUUAGUUGAGCACUCUAAUGAGACUGCCGGUGACAAACCGGAGGAAGGUGGGGAUGACGUCAAGUCCUCAUGGCCCUUAUGGGUAGGGCUUCACACGUCAUACAAUGGUCGGGACAGAGGGUUGCCAAGCCGCAAGGUGGAGCCAAUCUCACAAACCCGAUCGUAGUCCGGAUUGCAGGCUGCAACUCGCCUGCAUGAAGUCGGAAUCGCCAGUAAUCGCGGAUCAGCGCGCGA
Molecule: ribosomal RNA, 950 nt
Filed under: uncultured bacterium
Lineage: Bacteria
Description: bacterial SSU rRNA
Rfam family: Bacterial small subunit ribosomal RNA
Source: RNAcentral